CCGAAAGCUUUAAAACCCUCUGACUGUUUUGAUUUCAGUGCACUGUGACAAGGAAAAGCUAUGUAAUUAAUCAUGCUAAUUCAAAUGAGAAUUACUUUUUGGUCAAACCAGUGUUUUUACAAUUGCCUCCAGACCUCGUGCUUUUCAUUAAUACUAUUAGUGCUGUAGAAUUACUUACUCCUCAUUUUAUAUACGCCUUUCUGUAAGUCAACUAACAAAGCUAAUUAGUAGCUGUGAAAGAACAUAUUGAUGGAAUAAAAAUAUAUAAAAUUGUUCUGAGAAUUCUCAGGGUGAACCCUAUAUAUCAUGGGGUUUUGCUCAGUACUGUAGGCCCUUUUCCCUAAUAUAAAUAAACUUAUGUAAAAUUAAAGGGUUUUAAAUUUGCCACUAAGAGACCAUACACUUCCUGAAAGAACCAUUUUAAAAUUACACAUAAACACGUGCAAUCAAUCUUUACUACGUAGCUAGGAAUUUAGCAUAUGGAAGGGGGGAGUCAUGUUUUUAUGUUCCAAAGCAGGCACUUGGCACUUGUGGAUGAAAAUGCACAAUUAGCAACUAGAACCUAGGCUAAGCCAAAAAGCAAAUUUUACAAUAUCCUGCAAUGACAGCACCACGGUAACAGUUAAACAAUCCAAAGGCAGCAGCUGGACCCAGGGAGGCCUCGGUGGAAUUUGGAUUAACAGCGUCACAAAAGCAGAACAAAGACAAAUACAUCGGGAACUCAUGGAGCCAUACCGGGAAGCUGAAGCGCCAAGAGGCAGCGUGGGAUGAAAGCAGAGCCCCUUUGGCUCCUACUCUGGGUGGUGAAGCAGGAUGGACAGUCUUGUUGGAAACAGCAGCUGCUCCAAGUUCUACCCAGAGAAUCAUCUUUCAAAUCAGGAGGAACUCUCAAAAGAUGACAACUCUGACCCAAAAAGCAUUUCAAAUGCUGCAGUUGCAGAAAACUGAUUGUUGCAAGAUUCCACUGUGAUGAUUAAGCAAAUGUUUGGGAUGACCCUGCAAACUUCAGAAAAGAAAAAUUUGGAGUUGUUAUUCCAAGCAAAUUCAUCCCUGUCAGAUUAGAUUUUACCCAGUGGCGCUUUCAAUUACACGCCUCAAAUAAAGAUUUAAUUCAGAUUUAAUAAGACAGUUACUGCAUGCUAAUUAAAUACUAAUGGAUUAUUAAAAACAUAUUUUCUGCAGGUCUAACAACCCCAUAGCAAGCACAUCUAUCUAAACCUGAAUACACAUGGUUUUAAUCAGCCAUUGGAAUUAAGUUAAA
This is a non-coding RNA of Meleagris gallopavo (turkey), 1261 nucleotides long. The record is from RefSeq and is a predicted model, not a curated record. NCBI's taxonomy places the organism in Eukaryota, Metazoa, Chordata, Aves, Galliformes, Phasianidae.